AACCCCUGGAAUAUCAAAAGAGAACAACACUCAAGUGAUUUCAGGAGCAUUCAGUGAUCUAUAUGUAACCUCAAGUUCUCUUGGGUACUUUUCUACAAGGAAUGAUGCCAGUCUCGAAGGAGAAUUUGAUUUGCUAUUAUCCUGCAUUUUCAUUAUUCAUGAGCAUCUUGACAGAUCAAGUCACGGUGGCAAUCAGUGCUUACUCUUAGGAAAGUGGAGGUGGAGACUGGGGAGGCUGGAGAAGGAGAGAUUAAAAUUGCUAAACCGUUCUCAUCUGGCCCAUCUGUGAAGCAACCCUAAAAGAAGUAUUUGUAUUGAGCUAGGAAAAAUCAGAGGGGAAAGAAAAUGGAAGAGCAUUUGCUUUCUUUCCUCCUGCCCUUAGAGAAUAUAACACUGAGAUAAGGUGAAUUAGGAGACAAAAGGAAACAUACCUUCACUUCUGCAUCCAAUGUUGGGGGUGGUUCUAUGAAUGUUGAAUAAAUGUCAAAUGAGAUUCCUUCUUCUAGAGGAUCUGGGAGGAGACCACCUGAAGGCUUGACAACCUCUAUCAUUUGCUGGAGGGGAAGAAAAGAACUGAAUCAUGACAAAGCCUUUGUCAUUUCACCCCAAAGGAGAUUAUGCAGGGAAGCACUUGGAGCAAGAUGCUGCCACAGUCUGAAUGCAAAGCUUCCACGCAUUUUACUGGCAAACGUAAGUCACCUCUUAAAGACUGAAAAUACUUUUAAAAUUUAAAUAUUUAACAACAAACAGCCAAUAAGUGGAAAAAAAAAGAUUGUCACACAAGGUAUGGGAUGCAGUAAAACUUAAAAUUUGGUAAGAAAUGAGUCUAAAAACAAUUUGUUUGCAAUACCUUUUAUUUAAUAUUAAUUGCAUUUAAUAAAACAUCUUUAAUAUUUAAUACAAAUAAAUUGUAAAAUAUAUUAAAUAUCUGUCAUUUGCAUAUUAUUUUGCCCAG
Molecule: long non-coding RNA, 955 nt
Organism: Acinonyx jubatus (cheetah)
Lineage: Eukaryota; Metazoa; Chordata; Mammalia; Carnivora; Felidae
Exons: 3
Source: RefSeq, a predicted model, not a curated record